GAGUGAAGCGGAGAGCUACUGCAGGGUUCUGAGCAGAGUCCUAAUUUAUAUUUUAGAAGAAUCAUCAUGGCUCCUAGAUUAGGAAUAAAACGAAGGGGCCCAGGGAUGGAAACGAUGAGUCCAGUUGGGUUACUGCAAAGAUCCAGGCCAGAAAUCCAGGCACAGUGGCACACACCUGAGUCCCAGAUAAUUCCACCUACUGGUCCUGCUCUGUGGCCUACUGGUCCGAGUCCAGCCCCGACUGAUUUCUGGGCCUGUAAUGUCUAAAAACGCUCCCUGCUGAUGUUUUGCAAGUGACUGUGUUACUUGAAGGCAGUUCCUAGGAUAAACUAGUCGCUUUAUCAUUACAGAAUCAUUCACUGAGCAUCAACUAUGUAACCAGCAUUGGGUUGGGUGCCAGAGAUCCAAAGCUAAGACACCAAAACCUGCUCUCCAGGAAACGAGAGGCUGAGAAGAGGGCCAGCAGGUGUCUGUCAGUACUUGGAGCCGUGAGAGCAGGGAGUGGGUGCUGGGCUGAGGAACCAGAGGUAAUGGCCCUGGGGACGCCCGGGAAGAGAUGAGUUUUGAGGCAAAGGGGAUUACAGAGUUGAUCCUACUUACAGCUUCCAUCAAGCCCUUCAAAGAUGGGGUUUUGAGCAUCAGGGCAUCAAAGACUUCUUCUGACUCCUUUCGAACGUAGAGCAGCACUAAUCAAUCCCCAACCAGGAAUAAGGAAGGGAAAAGAGAGGAAAAAAAGGAUACAGUUCACAUGAGCAAAAGAGGAAAACAGACCACGGUACCAGCUAAAAUAAAAACCACAUUCACAUCAAGGAUGACAAGCAUCAGCCAAUAUCAAUUCUGUCUUAAGGAACACAGGUUUCAGCUUCUCUGAACUUUGCUCUAAGUCCUAGCUCAAGCUAGAUGUCAGUCUGAUGGAAGAAUUCCCAAGCAAGUGAAACUGGGAAAAAUGUGCUUGAACCAUUUAUGCUUUUGAUAGAUUCUGAACUCACUUCUGAUUUAAAACUCCCACUAAGAAAUGGAAACGAACACACCUCUCUUUGGUUCUUCUAUCCGGGCCAGCUUGGUAGAAGGAGGGACAGCAAAGUCAUCUUCUGUGCCGUACGGCCCCCUUUUCAAGACAGAGCUGCAGUGAUCCAAAAUAUGCCGUUAGUGAUUCAACUUAACCAGCUGCAUCAACAUUAAGGUGUUUUAGAGCCUGUCAUGGAACUAGAUUUAAAAUGACUUUCAUUCUUUAUCUGGUCCAGCUUCCUUAUUUGUGGAUGAAAAAUCAGGCUAAAGGAAGAUCCUGACUCCAGGGCUCAUGGAUAUUUACAGGCAGACAUGGGACCACACUCAGGUUCCCUGCAGGUAUCUGCACUCUCAUCAGAUAAAGCUGCCUUCUCGAAGAUGAGGCGCUUUGGUUUUUUUUUUUUUUUGUGAGACAGGGUCUCAUUCUGUUGCUCAGGCUGGAGUGCAGUGGUGCAAUCAUGGAUCACGGCUCACUGCAGCCUCAACCGCCCAGGCCCAAGCAAUCCUUCCACCUCAGCCUCCCAAGUGGCGCACACCACCACACCCAACUAAUUUUUUUAUUUUUGUAGAGAUGGGUUCUCCCUAUGUUGCCCAGGAUGUUCUCAAAUUCCUGGGCUCAAGCGAUCUUCCUACCUUGGCCUCCCAAAGUGCUGGAAUUAUAGGCAUGAUCCACCACGCCUGGCUGUCUGGUGCUUCUUUUCAGGAAACACUCUAUGGAGGAGGCAGGAUCUGAGAUAACCUUGUACAGGCAGUGACAAAGGAGAUGAUGUUUCAAAACACUGAGGAAGUGUGAGCAGGAAAAUGCAGGGCCAGCCUGGCUCAAACAGAAUGGCCCACAGGAAGCCAUAUCUAGAAAUUUCGGGAAGCCGACUCUACCGUGAAUGUCCUGAUCAUUCAGCUCUAAGGAAUUAAAUUUUACAUGGCAGAGAAGAGGGAAUAGUUGAAAGGUCUGUGAGACUGAGUGUGGUACCCAAAGUGUGUUGGUACCCAAAGUGUGUGGUCAAGACUGGAGGGGACCCCAGGACCUUCAAGCAGAAAAACCAGGGGAAGGAGGCUGGUAUAAUCCGAGCACAGGAUUCCACAGGUUUAAAAUAUGGUGGUAUCAUGGAAGCCAAAAGGUGAGAACAGACCAAGGAGAGUCUGAGGAGAGAAAAACUCAGAUCGAACGAACGCCUGGCUACCAGGGGCACCUGGCAUGGAGGGUCCAGCAGGUGGUGUCACGGCAAGCAAGAGAAGAGGUAGAUAACUGAAAGUGAAGGGAGGGAGUGCUGGAUUUGGAGCAGAAUGGCCACUUCAGGAGCAGGGGCUGAGCCUCCGAGACUCUGCCACCUCAGUUCCUAACACACAGCAGCCGUCUAGUGAAAGUGCCGGCAGGACUCAAGCCUGAAACACUAAGAAUCAAAGGGGCAGUGCAGGCCUCGCCUUCAAAGAGAGGCACGAUGGGUAACGUGUGGGGCAUGAAUGUCCCCAGUAUGACGGUUUAAGCCCUGGGAAUGGAUGGAAGAUGAGGGAAGAGGGAUGCUGAGGAAUGAACUUCCCAUGGAAAUCUUGGCUCUCUCCAUCAGGAUGCACCUUUCUGAGGGCAGAUAACAGAAAGAGGGAGGCUGAGGCGGGAGGAUUGCCUGAGACCAGGAUCUCUACAAUAAUAAUAAUAAUAAUAAUAAUAAUAAUAAUAAUAAUAAUUAGAUGGGUGUGGUGGCAUGUGCCUGUAGUCCCACCUACUCAGGAGUCUGAGGCAGGAGGAUCACUUAAGCCCAGAAGCUCAAGGCUGCAGUGAGCUGUGACUGCACCCCUGCACUCCUACAUGGGCCUCAGAGCAAGACCCUGUCUCUAAAAGUAAAAUGAAAUAAAAACAAAAAGAAUCUUUGCCUUGUUGAAAAAGUCCCAGAGCCAUCAAGAAGGUUCUGAUAGCCCAAAGAGGGGUAGCGUCAGCCCCCCUCCACUAGGCAGCAUGAGUAGGGGGCUGCCCGGCACAGGAAGGCAGAGCCCAAUUCUGGGACAACCUGAGCAUCAAAGUAAAUGACUAAUGAAUCACAGCUUAUUGAAUAAAACAGGAAACUAUGAGUUCAUACUGAUAGCAAUAAAUGAACGAGUAAACUGAAAGUUUGAUGGGGAAUGAGAUAUUUACAAAGCUACAAUGCACCUCCCCAGACAACACUUACUAUAAAAGGAGCCACUUUGCAGUGGAGAAGCUGGCAGAUACCAGCUUAAUCAAGUGACCAAAGAACACCAUUAGUAACAGAUAAACUGACAUCAAGCGCCAUCUGCUAGGACACACGGAGAACCCAGCCUGGCCUCUAUGACAUCCCUGCCAGGCCUGGAAUCUAACCAUGAGAGAGCAGCAGACACACGCAAACUAAGAAGAGUCUACAAAACAGCUGGUUGUAAUCUUCAAAAAUAUUUGGUCAGAAAAGUUAAGGAGUGGCUUAGUUCUAGACUGAAGAAGAUCAACAAACAUGACAAACAACUACAAUGUGUGAUCCUGAACUGGAUCCUUUUUUGCUAUAAAGGACAUUAUUGGUGCUAAUGAAGCAAUGUUAAUAUUCUAAUCUUGACUGUGACACAGGAGGAUGUCCUUGUUGGUAGGAAAUAUAUACCACGAUAUUCAGGAGUGAUGGGCCAUCAGGCUGGCAACUUAUCCUUGAUGGCUCAGGGAAAAAUGAGUUCUUUGUACUGUACUUGCAGUUUUUCUACAAGUUUGAAAUCAUUUCCAUUAUUAAAACAAAACAAAACAAAACAUAAAUCUUACCCUUCACCCUCCAAUUCUUCAGAGGCAAUGGGAAGGACCUAAGACCAAAGGAAUAGAUUGCUUUUCAAAUGUAUGCUCAAAAUGUUUGGCCAUAAAUGAAUUAUUCCUAAAAUGGAAAUAAUUUUGAAUUUCACCAAUCUAAUAUAAAAUCCUUUAGCCUUAGUUUUCAAUAACAGAUUCUUACAGAUGUCUUGAACUCCUUUAACUCAGUGGUUGGGCCAAAUCUGGUCUAAAGCCAGUUCAUGUAAAUAAAGUCUUUACUGAAACAAA
Long non-coding RNA from Homo sapiens (human), 4027 nucleotides. RefSeq lists it as uncharacterized. The transcript is spliced from 2 exons. NCBI's taxonomy places the organism in Eukaryota, Metazoa, Chordata, Mammalia, Primates, Hominidae. The record is from RefSeq and is a predicted model, not a curated record.